Molecule: ribosomal RNA, 698 nt
Filed under: uncultured Oscillatoriales cyanobacterium
Lineage: Bacteria; Bacillati; Cyanobacteriota; Cyanophyceae; Oscillatoriales
Description: bacterial SSU rRNA
Rfam family: Bacterial small subunit ribosomal RNA
Source: RNAcentral
AGUGGCGGACGGGUGAGUAACGCGUGAGAAUCUGCCCUUUGGAUGGGGAUAACGACUGGAAACGGUCGCUAAUACCCAAUAUGCCGAGAGGUGAAACUUAUAUGGCCAGAGGAUGAGCUCGCGCCUGAUUAGCUAGUUGGAGUGGUAACGGCACACCAAGGCGACGAUCAGUAGCUGGUCUGAGAGGAUGAUCAGCCACACUGGGACUGAGACACGGCCCAGACUCCUACGGGAGGCAGCAGUGGGGAAUUCUCCGCAAUGGGCGAAAGCCUGACGGAGCAAGACCGCGUGAGGGAGGAAGGCCUACUGGUUGUAAACCUCUUUUGAUAGGGAAGAAGAAAGUGACGGUACCUAUCGAAUCAGCAUCGGCUAACUCCGUGCCAGCAGCCGCGGUAAUACGGAGGAUGCAAGCGUUAUCCGGAAUUAUUGGGCGUAAAGCGUCCGUAGGUGGUUAUUCAAGUCAGCUGUCAAAGGAUGGAGCUUAACUCCAUAAAGGCAGUUGAAACUGUGUAGCUAGAGUAUGGUAGGGGUAGAGGGAAUUCCCAGUGUAGCGGUGAAAUGCGUAGAUAUUGGGAAGAACACCGGUGGCGAAAGCGCUCUACUGGGCCAUAACUGACACUGAUGGACGAAAGCUAGGGGAGCGAAAGGGAUUAGAUACCCCUGUAGUCCUAGCCGUAAACGAUGGAUACUAGGUGUUG